AUUGAAUGCUGGCGGCAUGCCUUACACAUGCAAAUCGAACGGUAACGGGCCUUCGGGUGCCGACGAGUGGCGCACGGGUGAGUAAUACAUCGGAACGUGCCCGAUCGUGGGGGAUAACGAGGCGAAAGCUUUGCUAAUACCGCAUACGAUCUACGGAUGAAAGCAGGGGACCGCAAGGCCUUGCGCGGACGGAGCGGCCGAUGGCAGAUUAGGUAGUUGGUGGGAUAAAAGCUUACCAAGCCGACGAUCUGUAGCUGGUCUGAGAGGAUGAUCAGCCACACUGGGACUGAGACACGGCCCAGACUCCUACGGGAGGCAGCAGUGGGGAAUUUUGGACAAUGGGCGCAAGCCUGAUCCAGCCAUGCCGCGUGCAGGAUGAAGGCCUUCGGGUUGUAAACUGAUUUUGUACGGAACGAAAAGCCUUCUUUUAAUACAGGAGGGUCAUGACGGUACCGUAAGAAUAAGCACCGGCUAACUACGUG
Molecule: ribosomal RNA, 482 nt
Filed under: uncultured bacterium
Lineage: Bacteria
Description: partial 16S ribosomal RNA
Rfam family: Bacterial small subunit ribosomal RNA
Source: RNAcentral